GUUCAUGCGGGAGAUGGCAGGGGCUGGCACAUGACAGUGGAGCAGAAAUUUGGCCUGUUUUCUGCUGAGAUAAAGGAAGCAGACCCCCUGGCUGCCUCGGAAGCAAGUCAACCCAAACCCUGUCCCCCCGAAGUGACCCCCCACUACAUCUGGAUCGACUUCCUGGUGCAGCGGUUUGAGAUCGCCAAGUACUGCAGCUCUGACCAAGUGGAGAUCUUCUCCAGCCUGCUGCAGCGCUCCAUGUCCCUGAACAUCGGUGGGGCCAAGGGGAGCAUGAACCGGCAUGUGGCGGCCAUCGGGCCCCGCUUCAAGCUGCUGACCCUGGGGCUGUCCCUCCUGCAUGCCGAUGUGGUUCCAAAUGCAACCAUCCGCAAUGUGCUUCGCGAGAAGAUCUACUCCACUGCCUUUGACUACUUCAGCUGUCCCCCAAAGUUUCCUACUCAAGGAGAGAAGCGGCUGCGUGAAGACAUAAGCAUCAUGAUUAAAUUUUGGACCGCCAUGUUCUCAGAUAAGAAGUACCUGACCGCCAGCCAGCUUGUUCCCCCAGCUGACAUCGGCGACCUCCGGGAGCAGUUAGUAGAGGAGAACACAGGCUCCUUGUCGGGCCCAGCGAAGGACUUUUACCAGCGGGAGUUUGAUUUCUUUAACAAGAUCACCAACGUGUCGGCUGUCAUCAAGCCCUACCCUAAAGGCGACCAGAGAAAGAAGGCUUGUCUGUCGGCCCUGUCUGAAGUGACGGUGCAGCCAGGCUGCUCCCUGCCCAGCAACCCUGAAGCCAUUGUGCUGGACGUCGACUACAAGUCUGGGACCCCGAUGUAGAGUGCUGCAAAAGCCCCAUAUCUGGCCAAGUUCAAGGUGAAGCGAUGUGGAGUUAGUGAACUUGAAAAAGAAGGUCUGCGGUGCCGCUCAGACUCUGAGGAUGAGUGCAGCACGCAGGAGGCCGACGGCCAGAAGAUCUCCUGGCAGGCAGCCAUCUUCAAACUGGGAGACGACUGCCGGCAGGACAUGCUGGCCCUGCAGAUCAUCGACCUCUUCAAGAACAUCUUCCAGCUGGUCGGCCUGGACCUCUUUGUUUUUCCCUACCGCGUGGUGGCCACUGCCCCUGGGUGCGGGGUGAUCGAGUGCAUCCCCGACUGCACCUCCCGGGACCAGCUGGGCCGCCAGACAGACUUUGGCAUGUACGACUACUUCACACGCCAGUACGGGGAUGAGUCCACUCUGGCCUUCCAGCAGGCCUGCUACAACUUCAUCCGAAGCAUGGCCGCCUACAGCCUCCUGCUGUUCCUGCUGCAGAUCAAGGACAGACACAACGGCAACAUUAUGCUGGACAAGAAGGGCCAUAUCAUCCACAUCGGUCAGCCAGCCACAGCGCCACCCUCCUCUCCCUUCACCCCGGCACCCAGGGGUGGAUAGGGAUCCCCACCCCACAGAGAGGAGAAUGCCCAGGACCACCCUGCCAGGAGUGUCAGGGUCCAGCUCUGAGGUCCGAACUGUCGGCCACCAAGCUGUUCUGCUGUAGAGGGUGCCUGGCCCCGGCCCCAGGGAGCUGGGGCGAGAGCCGCCAUUGCUCUGAGUCAGAAGCUGGAGCUGGGCGGAGUGGGGCUCGUCCAGGUUCAGUGCCCCAGCUUGGCUCCUUCCUCCACUUCCUCCCUUCUCUUUCUCUGCCUGCUGCCCCACCACCCACCCCAUCACUGUCUCCAAGAAAACACAACCUGCCUUUUGGGGGUGGAGGGGGUGCUCCUGUUGCAGAGUCCUUUUCCACUCCUCAAAACAGACCACUCGUCCUUGCCCGCCCUGGCUCCUACCCAGUCACAGGCAGCUCUUUGGGGUUUUGCAGACUUUGGCUUCAUGUUUGAAAGCUCGCCGGGCGGCAAUCUCGGCUGGGAACCCGACAUCAAGCUGACGGAUGAGAUGGUGAUGAUCAUGGGGGGCAAGAUGGAGGCCACACCCUUCAAGUGGUUCAUGGAGAUGUGUGUCCAGGCUACCUGGCUGUGCGGCCCUACAUGGAUGUGGUCGUCUCCCUGGUCACUAUCAUGUUGGACACGGGCCUGCCCUGUUUUCGCGGCCAGACAAUCAAGUUCUUGAAGCACAGGUUUAGCCCCAACAUGACUGAGCGCGAGGCUGCAAAUUUCAUCAUGAAGGUCAUCCAGAGCUGCUUCCUCAGCAACAGGAGCCGGACCUACAACAUGAUCCAGUACUAUCAGAAUGACAUCCCCUACUGAGGAGGGGACCUUCGAGGGCCUCUGCCCCAUGUGCCCUUGAAGCUGCCCCACAAUCAUGGAGCCCUGCGACCUACCCGCCCUGCCGCCACAUGCAGUGGAGGAGAGGCCUGUGGCCCGAAGAGCCUGGUAGCGCCUCCU
This is an RNA transcript of Homo sapiens (human), 2360 nucleotides long. It is a transcript of the gene named phosphatidylinositol 4-kinase alpha pseudogene 1, with no coding region annotated. The record is from RefSeq and is marked provisional. Lineage: Eukaryota; Metazoa; Chordata; Mammalia; Primates; Hominidae. The transcript is spliced from 15 exons.